This 301-nucleotide ribosomal RNA is filed under the name uncultured bacterium. RNAcentral's name for it is "partial 16S ribosomal RNA". It matches the Rfam family "Bacterial small subunit ribosomal RNA", at positions 509 to 807 of the family's 1533-position model. The record is from RNAcentral.
CAGUAGCCACGGUAAUACGUAGGGUGCGAGCGUUGUCCGGAAUUAUUGGGCGUAAAGGGCUCGCAGGCGGUUUCUUAAGUCUGAUGUGAAAGCCCCCGGCUCAACCGGGGAGGGUCAUUGGAAACUGGGAAACUUGAGUGCAGAAGAGGAGAGUGGAAUUCCACGUGUAGCGGUGAAAUGCGUAGAGAUGCGGAGGAACACCAGUGGCGAAGGCGACUCUCUGGUCUGUAACUGACGCUGAGGAGCGAAAGCGUGGGGAGCGAACAGGAUUAGAUACCCCCGUAGUCCCUGUCUCUUAUAC